RNAcentral lists this ribosomal RNA (2174 nucleotides) under Triticum aestivum (bread wheat). Its description in RNAcentral is "partial small subunit ribosomal RNA". The record is from RNAcentral. Lineage: Eukaryota; Viridiplantae; Streptophyta; Magnoliopsida; Poales; Poaceae.
GUUGAAGGUUUGAAGUGAGCUUCAAACCUUUACCCUUGAGGUAAUUUGUGUCCCGGUGGCGUGGCUUAGAUUACACGCGCUAUCCCAUGAGAGGCAAGACUGAUCUUGAUGUCCAUGACCCACUUAAGCAAGUUCUGGCCAUUGAGGGCAAGAGCCUCAAAUUACUUAGCCAUCAAUUACUUAAAGGGGCAAACCAGAGAUUAUUAAUUUACGAGUAGUAAAUUAAAGACCAUCAUGGUUAGUGUUGUAAUGAAUUUUGCAAAAUUGAUGGGUAUUUCAAGAAGUUAUCUUGAAACCAUUAGUGUGAACAUCAAAUUGCUAAGUAUGACAUCUUGAAGAUAAUCUUCGAAAGGGAGUAGAUCUCGCAGCACUAGGGAGUAUAAUCUGAUACUCACUCCUAAUGCCUUAUGUCAUGACUUAGUAAAAUGCAUGGGAGUGCACAAUGUUGUGCAAUCAUAAUGUCAAAUAUGACAAAAUAUAGGCUUUAUCAGUAGUCAUCAAUAAUCUGCGUAGGCAGUAGAUCCAUAUGACUACCUUGUGAUCCCAAGCAUCAUUUUGACGAAUCACUUUGAAUUUUGCAUUUGUAUUUGCAAGGAAUUGAAAAUCUCAAUUGCAAAUAGAAGUAUUAAUCUCGACAUGUGUUUAACAUGGAAAUAGAUACAUCAUCGAAAUAUUUUACUCAACGGAGAAACAGUACUGUAGAGGUACUGAAUUUAUCUUUGCAAGAGAUGAGAAAUCUCAAUUGCAAAUGAACGUAAUUAAUCUCAACACGUGGUAAACGUGGAAAUAUAUUACAUCAACUUAAUAUCUGGAAUACAUCUCGGUACUCAACAGAUACACACUACUAUCGUAAUGAAUAGUAAUGAUGUUGCAAACUUGAUGUUCAAGUGAAAAACUUGAAUUGUAUGGACCUCAAAUUAAAAUGAGAUGAUCUUGUAUCAAGUUGCAAGAUAAUUCAGCAAGGUGAAUUAAUAAUUUGCGAGAGAAAAUUGAUCUCAAUUGCAAUGAGAUUGUUUUGCGAGAAAAUGAUAAUUCUCAAUCGCAAAUCUAUAUUGUUGUGCGAGGAAACUUAAUCUCAAUCGCGGAAAGCUUGUUCUAGAAUUUUAGAGCGUAGAUUCACUCAUUUUGCUCCGUAUGUAGUCACUUGUUGAAACCUCUAGAAAGACAAGUAUUUAGGAACGGAGGGAGUAGUACUGUUAGCAUUGUUCAAAAUUAGCCUGGACCACUGUUUUACCCAUUUUGCAAAUUUCGCAAAAACAGGGACCUGCAUGCAAAAAUGGCAAAGGGAUAAGGUUGCCUCUACUCUCUCUCCUGUGCGGUUCCGCGUUGGGGAUUUUUCUACCGCCGUCUCGAGCGGCCUCGAGGGCUCGCCGGAGAAAGGAGAGGGAGGAUCUUGCCGUGCCGGAAGUCGCCGUCGCAGGGCGCUGGAAAGCGCCGUCACGGGCUUGAGACGCCCAGACGCGGCCGCUUCGGGCUGUGCGGGAGGCCGCCCGGUCGCUAUGUCUUGCCGCGACGUGCCGCCGGAGAGCGUCGUUGGUGGCGGCAGGACUCAACGCGGAGGUGUGAUCCGGCGGCGCGGCAGGAGACGAAGCCGCUGGAGCCGGCGUCUUGGUCCAGCGGGAACUGAAACCAAGCGAUGUCUCUUGCCGUGGAUGCCUUCGUCCUUCGUCAAGCGUAAGGCAAAAUUCUGUUCAUGGUAAAGCAAAUUUGUGUAGCCAUGAAGAAAAUUGGAAAAGUAGCACCUUGUUUCUCUGUAGCAAUUAGAUGAAGUUGGUACUCCAAUUUGCGUGGUGCUUGACUCCAGUCUCCGAUUCUCUUCCCAUCUUGGAGUUUAUUCGUCGGAUUUGCUGGCGCUCUCCAUCGGGGACGCUGCUAUUCGCCCCGUUCUUCUCCAGUGGCAUCUCUCUCGGGAGAGUUGUGCGCCUGUUUUCUCACACGCGCAGCGAGCGUGUUGGAGUUGUGUCGAAUAUACUGUACAAGGUAGGUUACAAUUGGACUUGUAGUAGUAUUGUGUGUAGACAGGGUAGGAGUUGUGUCUUAAUAGGACACCUGUAUCCUAGACCUCUCAUAUAUAUCGGGGGUAGACACACGAUGUAAUCUAUGCCAACAUAAUAGCACGGGCACGCGGGGAAGCCGGCGGCAUGUGCCGGCGGCAUGUGCCGGCGCCCGGGCGG